This 440-nucleotide ribosomal RNA is filed under the name uncultured bacterium. Its description in RNAcentral is "partial 16S ribosomal RNA". It matches the Rfam family "Bacterial small subunit ribosomal RNA", at positions 338 to 795 of the family's 1533-position model. The record is from RNAcentral.
CCUACGGGAGGCAGCAGUGGGGAAUAUUGCACAAUGGGGGGAACUCUGAUGCAGCGAUGCCGCGUGAGUGAAGAAGUAUUUCGGUAUGUAAAGCUCUAUCAGCAGGGAAGAAACUGACGGUACCUGACUAAGAAGCCCCGGCUAACUACGUGCCAGCAGCCGCGGUAAUACGUAGGGGGCAAGCGUUAUCCGGAUUUACUGGGUGUAAAGGGAGAGCAGAUGGCUGAGCAAGUCUGAAGUGAAAGGCGGGGGCCCAACCCUCGGACUGCUUUGGAAACUGUAAAGCUGGAGUGCAGGAGAGGUAAGCGGAAUUCCUAGUGUAGCGGUGAAAUGCGUAGAUAUUAGGAGGAACACCAGUGGCGAAGGCGGCUUACUGGACUGCAACUGACGUUGAGGCUCGAAAGCGUGGGGAGCAAACAGGAUUAGAUACCCGAGUAGUC